This 492-nucleotide ribosomal RNA is filed under the name uncultured bacterium. RNAcentral describes it as "partial 16S ribosomal RNA". It matches the Rfam family "Bacterial small subunit ribosomal RNA", at positions 28 to 507 of the family's 1533-position model. The record is from RNAcentral.
GAUGAACGCUAGCUACAGGCUUAACACAUGCAAGUCGAGGGGCAGCGGUAUCGAAAGCUUGCUUUCGGUAGCCGGCGACCGGCGCACGGGUGAGUAACGCGUAUCGAACCUGCCUCAUAAUCGUGAAUAGCCUUGCGAAAGUAAGAUUAAUGCCCGGUGUUUUCAGAGUCCCGCAUGAGGCUUUGAACAAAGAUUUAUCGGUAUGAGAUGGCGAUGCGUGCCAUUAGCUUGUUGGCGGGGUAACGGCCCACCAAGGCAUCGAUGGGUAGGGGUUCUGAGGGGAAGGUCCCUCACAUUGGAACUGAGACACGGUGCAAUCUCCUACGGGAGGCAGCAGUGAGGAAUAUUGGUCAGUGGGCGGAAGCCUGAACCAGCCAAGUAGCGUGCAGGAAGACCGCCCUCCGGGUUGUAAACUGCUUUUAGUUGGGAAUAAAACGGGGCUCGUGAGCCCCCUUGCAUGUACCAUCAGAAAAAGGACCGGCUAAUUCCGUG